AUUGAACGCUGGCGGAAUGCUUUACACAUGCAAGUCGAACGGCAGCACGGGGGCAACCCUGGUGGCGAGUGGCGAAAGGGUGAGUAAUACAUCGGAAAGUGCCCAGUCGUGGGGGAUAACGUAGCGAAAGUUACGCUAAUACAGAAAACGAACUACGGAUGAAAGCGGGGGACCGUAAGGCCCAGCGCGAUUGGAGAGGCAGAUGUCAGAUUAGGUAGGUGGUGAGGUAAAGGAUCAACAAGGCGGCGAUCUGGAGCUGGUCUGAGAGGACGACCAGCCACACUGGGACUGAGACACGGCCCAGACUCCUACGGGAGGCAGCAGUGGGGAAUUUUGGACAAUGGGCGCAAGCCUGAUCCAGCCAUUCCGCGUGAAGGACGAAGGCCUUCGGGUUGUAAACUGCUUUUGUACGGAACGAAAAGGCUCUGGUUAAUACCUGGGGCUCAUGACGGUACCGUAAGAAUAAGCACCGGCUAACUACGUGCCAGCAGCCGCCGUAA
Molecule: ribosomal RNA, 500 nt
Filed under: uncultured bacterium
Lineage: Bacteria
Description: partial 16S ribosomal RNA
Rfam family: Bacterial small subunit ribosomal RNA
Source: RNAcentral